This 160-nucleotide non-coding RNA is filed under the name Sutterella wadsworthensis. The record is from RNAcentral. Lineage: Bacteria; Pseudomonadati; Pseudomonadota; Betaproteobacteria; Burkholderiales; Sutterellaceae.
CGAAUCGAUGAAGGAAGCCGAUAGCAAACCGCCAGCCUGACAAACAGGAAUCGGAUAUGAGGCACAAGGUCUGGGAGAGCUGUCAAAAUUCAGUUAACCCCGUAGCGACACGGAAAGGCGAUGUGUAGAUCCGACAGGUAGGGCGCGAAGCGCAUGUGUG